RNAcentral lists this transfer RNA (71 nucleotides) under Bos taurus (domestic cattle). It matches the Rfam family "tRNA". From Rfam's summary of the family: Transfer RNA (tRNA) molecules are approximately 80 nucleotides in length. Lineage: Eukaryota; Metazoa; Chordata; Mammalia; Artiodactyla; Bovidae. RNAcentral also lists the same sequence under 5 other names. The record is from Rfam by way of RNAcentral.
UCCUUGGUGGCUAAGUGGUAAAGAAUCUGCCUGCAAUGCAGGAGACAUGGGUUCGAUCCCUGGAUUAGGAA